RNAcentral lists this long non-coding RNA (352 nucleotides) under Lepidothrix coronata (blue-crowned manakin). Its description in RNAcentral is "lncRNA (ENSLCOG00000004041.1)". The record is from RNAcentral. Lineage: Eukaryota; Metazoa; Chordata; Aves; Passeriformes; Pipridae.
CUUAUUUUCAGUGAUGGCCUGUGCCAUGACUUGAGUUCAGCAAGAACUGCCUGCUUGUGCUACAUGUCUUCAGAAAAUAAUGGAAAAAGGGAAGCCAUCUCAGGAAGGAGAAAAACUCGCUUGUCACCUGGGAUAAGGAGAAUCAAAGUUGAAAGCAGAUGGAGAUUGCUACACAAACAGGGAGGAAUACCUGUAGUCGAUGGUCACAAACAUGGUACUUGGGGGCUGCUUCUCAAAGCUAAGGAGCUCCUUUCAGCUUCUGAUAAACACGCAGCUAGAAAAGGUGAGUGUUGUUAUUUGUUCUACAUCUUUUGCAUUAUUGAUGAUUGGAGUAAUUUCUCAGUUUCUUGAA